GCUCACCAUGGUUGCAGACCCCAAAUUGCUAUUCUUUGCUGAUCCCGAAUAAACCCAUUUUUGCUGGAGAGAUAACUGGCUGUCUGUUUGUUUAAGGUCAACAUUUUGGUGGCCCAUGUGAAGAUGCAGAGAACACCCCUGAUGAUUCUGAGGCUGGAACCAAGCUCAGGACAAAGACCCAAGCUCCCUUUGCCAAGCCAAUAUCCAGGGCAAGAGCAGCCACCUGACCAAACCAGGCUCUGCACAUAGAAGCCUCCAAUACCGCUGCCAGUGUACCCUCUAGCCUAUCCCUGAGCUAUCUGGAGAUGAGAGCCUUGAGCUAUAUAAUAUCAUCAACAAAGUCAACUUGAGAUGAUGGGAGUCCACAAGCUAUGACAUUUGUUACAUCACCAAAGGAACCAGAUCUCGUGCCAAUGCUGAACCUGGAAGAAAAGCUGUUCCUGGAUGAAAAUGCAAGUAUCUUCCCUGACGGCCUCUAUGGGGAUGCUGUGGAUAAAGAGAGGACGCCUUUAUCACAUGGGAGCUUGUGGGCUCUGUCCUGCUUAAACCAUAACUGUCUGCAGAUAAUACUCUUCAACUGAAAGUGGAUCGGCUCCCUUAUCUGCUGGAAAUAUGCUUGCUUAGUAUAAUGAGAAGAGACACCAUUCCCUACAGAGUCAGAUUGGUUCCUCAGGUGAGGCCACGCCUACUUACAUGCACCAUUUUGUUACAUUACAUCUACUUAUAUAUAAUGUGGGAGAGUUUGGGAUACCUCGUUGUUAUAAGAAAGUUACAACUUGGUAGGUAAAGUGAUGAUUGUUAAAACCAUAUCUGGUCUUUGAAAUUUUCCAAGUCUCAAUCAUGAAACAAUCACCUUAAUUAACACUAAAUAAAAAUCUGAUACAUGGUGAUUAUAGUUCGAAAGGAGAGUAAAUUAAGCUAUACUAAGAAAGAGCCCUUAGUAUAUAAAAUCAGCAAAUUAAACCUAUUACCUCACAAAAAAAUAAAUAAAUGAAACAAGGAGAUUAAUGUAGAAAAGCGCUAAAAUAUCAGAAUUAAAAACCAGAUCAGAAAUUUUGAUCAUCAAGUUAAAAUUGUGGAAUGUCUAAAUACUUAUUUUCAUGGUAUUUUUCUAUCAAAUGAUUGACUCAACUUUAGAAAUAAAAUUUUUUCCUAUACUAAUUUUUUAUUUUUCUAAUUACAUAAAUAUCAAUAUAUUUAAAAAAGGACAACAGCAUGGCAUACUGUAUUAGAAACAUGAGUCAAUAAUAAUGACAGGAAGAGAUUAUAAAACAUUAUAAAGUGGAUGUUUGUAAAUGAACAUCAAAUUUUAUUUGUGGCUAUUUGUAUUUAUUUCUAAAAGGGCAAACAAUGAAAUCAACCAGUUCCUUGGCUACUGAGAAUAUCCUUUCCUUGUCCUAAUAGAACAAAACAGACUUGGUCUUCAGAGACUCGGACAGAGCAAACGUCGAUGUAUUUUAGUACGGCACUUUAACCUAGGUGUAGAAGUUUUGUCCCAAAGGAUCCUUAUGAUGAUACCAUUAAGAACAAGAAAAACCAAUGGCCUUUUCCCAUAUAAAUCCAGAGUUCCAAAACAAAGGGGCUUCAGGCACCUUUGACCUCUGAAGGAGGUCAGUGACACUGAACCAGCAGACUAAAGGCUUAGAUUUAUUUUGCCAUCCAAACUUCUUCCCUGUAAUCCCUCACAGGUAGUUUUCCAUUGGCUUUGAAGCAUAGCCUAUCUUACUGAGUGAUUUCUCUCAACAGUUCAUUCAUUCUUUCAUUGGAGCAUUUAUUGGAUGCCUACUGUGUGGUUAGCUGUGGUGUUACGAGAUUGAUAUCCACAUUCUCUAUGUUCAUAGAUUCCACUUAAGUUAAUAUACAAAGAUGUGCACCUGCAAAUACAAUGCCAUGAGAUAAAUGCUUUGGUGGAGGUGUGCACAGAAGGUGCAGGAGCCCAGAGAGAAGCACUUAACACAGCUUUGGAGGGGAGGUCUGCAAAAGCUGAGCAAACCUUCGUGACCUGAGGCAUUCUCCCUCCGGCGUCACUGGCAGUGUAAUCAGGAUGGCUGCAGCUCCUUCCCGAGGGGCUGGCUUAUAUUCCACCCAGCAGGUGCAAGGGCUCCACCAGCAUCAGAAAUUCAUAAAGGCAAAGGACAUCUAAGAGACCACAUUAGGACAGCAAUGGUAAAACAUCUGGCAAAGAAAUUUUUAGCCCAAAUACUUUCAAAAAGUAUUUCCAAGGCAUAUAAGUCAUAUAUAAUAGGACCAUUCGUAGAUGAAUUCAAAAUUAAGGACUAUAUAUAAGGGAAGAGAAAACUUCAAGAAAAUUGAGUUUAGUUCAGGUACUUGUUGCAACUGAGCUAUAAAUUAGCUCUGCUCUUCCUGGUAGGAAAAGUCAAAAAGGAAACAGUGAGUUGAAACUCUCAUUCUUUAAAUAAGGCUACUUGAUUUAUCAGAAAAAAAGAUUGUUGUCCAGGAAUAGAUUCUAAGGAAAAGCUUAGCAUAGUGCCAGGCCUACGCAGACACUUAAACUGUUGAACGAAGGAAUGAAUGAAAAUAUGAAUGUAAGUGUUACCAAAAAAUGGUUUUCUGUGGCCAGUUCCUAUAUUAAUCUUGGAUGGAAGCUAAGUAAAUAAUGGCUUGUUUAGGCAUUUGUACAGAGAGCCACAGUAGCAUGAUAUAGGUUUAUAACUUUCAAGGUAGAGACAAGACAUUCUUCUGCCAAUGAAAAGAUACCACUUUAGAGCUGGCCCUGUGGCCUAGUGGUUAAGUUCGGCAUGCUCUGCUUUGGCAGCCCGGGUUUGGAUCCCAGGCAUGGACCUACACCACUCGUUGGCGGUCAUGCUGUGGCAGUGACCCACAUACAAAAUAGAGGAAGAUUGGCACAGACGUUAGCUCAGGGACAAUCUUCCUCAAACAAAAAGAGGAAGAUUGGCAACAGAUAUUAGCUCAGGGUGACUCUUCCUCAGCAAACAAAAGAUACCACUUUGAGGCAGUGGGGAAAGUUUAGUAGGAGGGUGUUACCUGUGUGCAGGUAUGUGUGGAUGUAUAAAGGCAGGAGCAGGAAGGCUCUGGCCUGCCCAGUGCGUCCGUAACACAUUCACUCUGAAGGCUACAGGAGCCUAUGCCAAGGCUCAUCCUGCACGAUGUAAAGGGAUAGAGUGACAGCCCAGCUGUGGUCCACUGUGGCUCUCACUUUAUCCCAGUAAGUAAGGUCAUUAUAUAUGCAUAGCUAUAAUUUCAUGAAAAUAUAUUAUAUUUCAAAUUUUAACACCAAGAGGGAUUCUGUUUACUUUUUUAUCACCAUGUUUAUCUCUGGGGGACAAGAUGCAACUCUCACAGUAUACUUUCACAGAUACAUUUUUUUAAAAUGAGAAUUGCCUUAAAGGAGAAACUUAAUUAAAAAUGCAUUUCAAUGUAGAAGAAAGUGAUUCAUACCAUUUAUUAAAAUAGAGUAAUUCACAGUUUACAUUUCAGUGAACCUGAAAAUACCCAAUUUUUAAAUCAAAAGGAAAUGCAUUCUAGCUCCUAAGAGUUCAAUUUAAUAGUUUUUAAUAGUUUUAAGCUACUUUUUAAAAUCUCAAAAACACAGGAUCAAAUUUUACACUCAAUAGUGCUG
Long non-coding RNA from Diceros bicornis minor, 3601 nucleotides. RefSeq lists it as uncharacterized. The record is from RefSeq and is a predicted model, not a curated record. The transcript has 4 exons. Lineage: Eukaryota; Metazoa; Chordata; Mammalia; Perissodactyla; Rhinocerotidae.